RNAcentral lists this long non-coding RNA (1676 nucleotides) under Ursus maritimus (polar bear). RNAcentral's name for it is "lncRNA (ENSUMAG00000001944.1)". Lineage: Eukaryota; Metazoa; Chordata; Mammalia; Carnivora; Ursidae. The record is from RNAcentral.
CUGACCUCUGCUUGUUUUGGCCAGUGGGAAAUGCUAUGCUCACUCUACUAAAAGAAAAACCAAAGCCCAGGACUUGUCUAAUGAAACAAUGAAUUAAUGACAGUUCUUGGAAGAGGAAUCAGUACAUAUGAUUUGCAAGGUUUAAACAGAUUUUUGGCACCAGGGUAUAAUCCCUGUCUAAUAUGAAAGGUAGUCUUCCACCCAGGGCCCAAAAGUACUGGGAAAGUUGGCAUUCUUCUGACACUUGAGUAAGGAAUCUUUAUUAUUAUAUGAUCCCAAAACUCAAAAAAAAAAAAACAAAAACGGUUUUAAGGUACUUAAGACAAUGAAGAAACCCCUAUAGCUUGGGAAAAAUUCACAAAAAUUCUUUUCUAACUAGUGCUUAGCAGAUGCUCACUGACUAAUUUUUCACCAAAAAGCUUACUGCUGAUUAGGAAAAUAUCAAAAGGCUAGCAUGUGGAGAAAGACAAUGAAUCUUGAUUUGAAUAAGGUCUCUACUGAUCAAUUCUUUUUCAUUCCAUUUAGCCCCUUUAAAGUCUUUUUGCCUCUGUUCCCUUCCUUUCCUUUCCCUAUCCUUCCUCACUAACCCCCCCCCCAAAAAAACCACAUAAAAAUCAGCACAAAUUCAUUAGAUGGGGCUGAGAAAGUAGAUAUCCAUACAAGAGGGUAGGGAGCAAAGCUGCCGAGUCUGAGAGGGCAAAAGGGACAUCCAGACAGGGUGUCAGGCCAGCAGGAGCUAUUAGAGCCCAGGCAGGAUGAGGAGAGUAUCCAUGUGAUGUGAGGGGAAUGUCUGGGGAGCGUAACUGGGGAUCUCUGGUCCUUCUUGGUACAGCACCGAAGCGAUGCAGGAAACUGGGCCAUCUGGAGGACACUGCAGACGCGACAGUGGCAGUUGCAGUCACACGGAGAAGAAAUGUCUUUUUCCUUGUGGAACUGCAGGGCUGGCCGCACACCGGCCCCUCGUGACGAGAGGAGAAUUCAAUUCAUAACCUCUCUGUGUUCCUUGGGCGGCACAUGCAUACUUGCUGACUUCUGUAAGGCUUGCUUGUACUCAGCUUCUCAGCCCUUUGUCCAUAUUUGAGCAAAGAACACCAAAUUCCAUUUCUAACACCCCUGUUAAGAGAAAAUUAAACCUUCGGUCUCUAGGGUGCUCUGCAGACCCGGGAACGAUGAUCCCAACCUGGGAAAACUGUUCUUCCUGAUGAGGCUGAAACAGAAACAAAUAUAUGGUUUGAUUCCAAUCCCCAAAAUGUGCCUACUAAACAUUUAAACAUUCCAUCUCUGCUAAUCUAUUUUAGAACGGGAGAUAUAGAAGCAAAUACCGAAGUUAGGAUGAAUAUUAGGCCACAGAGCUCAGCUAACUCACCACUUGAGAAGCCAGCUCUAAUGUUUUACUGUAAAUAGAAGAAUGUUUUGUAUCAUUGUCCCACCAUCCUUUAAAUAGGAUAUAGACCAUUCAAUCAUCAUUCGUGCUGCUGGGCAUGUUUAUAAUAAUUAUAUGAAAAUAAUUUUCAUUCUAGUAAAACAGAAGUCCUGAUCCUUUCGGAAUUAUUGGGAGGAGACUUCCCACUUUAUGGUCACCCUGCUCUAUUCACUGGUCCCCGUGUGGUGAGAUGACAAGAAUGUGCCUUCCAUUGGCCCACACUCCUCUACGGGCCAGUUUACUAAUUUGCAAC